This 489-nucleotide ribosomal RNA is filed under the name uncultured bacterium. RNAcentral describes it as "partial 16S ribosomal RNA". It matches the Rfam family "Bacterial small subunit ribosomal RNA", at positions 29 to 504 of the family's 1533-position model. The record is from RNAcentral.
AGUGAACGCUGGCGGUAGGCCUAACACAUGCAAGUCGAACGGCAGCACAGUAAGAGCUUGCUCUUACGGGUGGCGAGUGGCGGACGGGUGAGGAAUACAUCGGAAUCUACUUUUUCGUGGGGGAUAACGUAGGGAAACUUACGCUAAUACCGCAUACGACCUACGGGUGAAAGCAGGGGAUCUUCGGACCUUGCGCGAUUGAAUGAGCCGAUGUCGGAUUAGCUAGUUGGCGGGGUAAAGGCCCACCAAGGCGACGAUCCGUAGCUGGUCUGAGAGGAUGAUCAGCCACACUGGAACUGAGACACGGUCCAGACUCCUACGGGAGGCAGCAGUGGGGAAUAUUGGACAAUGGGCGCAAGCCUGAUCCAGCCAUACCGCGUGGGUGAAGAAGGCCUUCGGGUUGUAAAGCCCUUUUGUUGGGAAAGAAAAGCAGCAGGUUAAGACCCCGCUGUUCUGACGGUACCCAAAGAAUAAGCACCGGCUAACUUC